GUUACCAGUUGUCAGGUCAGGCACACGAACUGUCAGGUCAGGUCGAGUCAAUGCACGGACCCUUCACCUUAAAACGUAGCGUUGGCCCCUUUUAUUUUUUGGUCAGAUUUAUUUUAGUUCAUUGUUAACCCCUUUUUCAGAAAAAAAUGUCAGCUUUCAAAGAAACAACCUUCUUUUUCCCAAGUUCUGACGGUCGCCCGCCGUCGCUGCCUCCACCGUCGGUUGCCGCUUAACAACGUUGGCAUUGGCCCAAAAUUUACCCACAAACUCUUCUCGGCCCCUUCUUUAUUGUUCUCUAGUUAGAUUUCCCGAAAAUCCACCCAAGACUCCCAAAUCUGAGCUAGACAGUCGCAGGUGUGAACCAAAAAAUCUCCACCAUCCAUUGCUCCAACGGCUGCCAUUUCAAACUAUGCUCUUACUUAAGCCGAAACCUUUCUCCUCACUACAAACUAAACCCCGAAUCUCCUUGGAAUCUCCCAAAAUCAAAAACCGAAAACCCUUUUUUAUUGCGAUUCUAUGCAAAUAUAUUUUGUGGUUUGUUGUUGCUGCGGCUUCCUCUACGAGGAAUAUGGUUUUUAUUUUUGUUUUGGUUUUUUUUUUUUAAGUGCUAUGGGUCUCGGGAUUCUUUUUUGUUGUUAUUUUUUGGGUUUAUCGUGGUAGUAUAUGGAUGCCAAUGGUGGGGGUGUUUAUGAAAGGGUGUGGGAUUUUGUAAUGGUGUGGGCUUUGUGGUGGUUGAGGGCUGGUGUUGUUUUGGGUGGACUGGCUUCGGUUAUUGGGUGAUUCAGGUGCAAGAAGUUGUAAGGGAUGGGAAAUAUGGCUAUGGUUGGUGACAGUGAAGGAAUUUGGUCAGUUUGCUAGAGAUUGCUGAGGUAGUUUUUGGCUAUGGGGAAGGGUUGGGUUCCUCUAGCUUUUUUCUGAGGUAGUAUCCAAAAUCCUUUUUUUUUCCAGCCGAAUUGUCCUAGAGUUGAUAAUUUGGUUCCGUGAAUACAGAAGGGUCUGGACUGGUCUUGGACUGAGAGAUUCAAUUCUUUUGACUUUUGUUCCAGCCUGUGAUGAUGAUCUGUGGGCGUAAUAUGCUGAUUCCUGGAUGGGUGAAUUUGUUUGUAGGCAAAACAAUUUGCCGUUUGGUCAAGUAGUAUUGAAAGUAAAUGGGGUAAAACCUAGAGGAUAAAACAUGAAAAUCUCAAAUUAGUGAGGCAGUAUGGGGUGUGGAGUCUGGGAAGCUAGGAAAGCUUGCUGCCAUAGGUGAAGGGGGUGGUGCAGAGCUUGGGUCAAUGGGAUUUUAAUCAUCUCAUGUUAACCGGAGAAAGGGGCCAUAUUGAAAAGAUGAAUAAGAGCUGAAAAGAGCUGAAAAUAGAAAGGCCAAGGGUGGAGCUAACAUGAGAGGAGAACAAAGCCGAGCAUGAAAUAAUUGCUCUGAUAAAAACGUGAAUGUCCCAGCUUAGAUUUUUAUUUUUUUGUUUUUUUAGCAUACUACAAACACAUUACUAAAAUUAGGAUAUAAAUAACAAAAGAAUAGACUUCUCAUAGGCUAUUUCUUGUUUUGGGCUCCUAAAUUAGGACCCAAUUUGCAAUAAGCUGGAGUAAAAGAAAAUAAAAUAGACGGGCCCAAAUAGAAAUAGUCUUACUUGAAUCACAAUUAAAUGAGUCCAAAUUUUUGAAAAAAUUUUUUUUUUUAAUUUUGGAAAGAAACUGAGACUCGAAAUCACUUGAAUUAAAUCAGAGAAAAUGGGUGUAUGCAUAUAUAAGAUAAAAAAUUAAAAAAAA
RNAcentral lists this long non-coding RNA (1767 nucleotides) under Durio zibethinus. RNAcentral describes it as "long non-coding RNA (DZIB_LNC001675)". Lineage: Eukaryota; Viridiplantae; Streptophyta; Magnoliopsida; Malvales; Malvaceae. The record is from RNAcentral.